This 253-nucleotide ribosomal RNA is filed under the name uncultured bacterium. RNAcentral describes it as "partial 16S ribosomal RNA". It matches the Rfam family "Bacterial small subunit ribosomal RNA", at positions 524 to 776 of the family's 1533-position model. The record is from RNAcentral.
UACAGAGGUCCCAAGCGUUGUUCGGAUUCACUGGGCGUAAAGGGUGCGCAGGUGGGCUGGUAAGUUCGAUGUGAAAGCCCCGGGCUUAACCCGGGAAUGGCAUUGGAUACUACCGGUCUGGAGGAUCGGAGGGGGGACUGGAAUUCUUGGUGUAGCAGUGAAAUGCGUAGAUAUCUGGAGGAAUACCGGUGGCGAAGGCGGCAUCCUGGACCGGCAUUGACGCUGAUGAGCGAAAGCUAGGGGAGCAAACGGG